RNAcentral lists this small RNA (46 nucleotides) under Phycisphaerae bacterium RAS1. RNAcentral describes it as "Acido-Lenti-1 RNA". It matches the Rfam family "Acido-Lenti-1 RNA". Lineage: Bacteria; Pseudomonadati; Planctomycetota; Phycisphaerae. The record is from Rfam by way of RNAcentral.
CCCCGGGCUCGCGCCCGGGGCUAUACUCUUUCGCCCUUCCAGGGCU